AGGGUUUGAUCCUGGCUCAGGAUGAACGCUGGCGGCGUGCUUAACACAUGCAAGUCGAACGGGAAUUAUUUUAUUGAAACUUCGGUCGAUUUAAUUUAAUUCUAGUGGCGGACGGGUGAGUAACGCGUGGGUAACCUGCCUUAUACAGGGGGAUAACAGUCAGAAAUGGCUGCUAAUACCGCAUAAGCGCACAGAGCUGCAUGGCUCAGUGUGAAAAACUCCGGUGGUAUAAGAUGGACCCGCGUUGGAUUAGCUGGUUGGUGGGGUAACGGCCCACCAAGGCGACGAUCCAUAGCCGGCCUGAGAGGGUGAACGGCCACAUUGGGACUGAGACACGGCCCAG
RNAcentral lists this ribosomal RNA (343 nucleotides) under uncultured bacterium. Its description in RNAcentral is "bacterial SSU rRNA". It matches the Rfam family "Bacterial small subunit ribosomal RNA", at positions 8 to 334 of the family's 1533-position model. The record is from RNAcentral.